GCAGUAUGAGGGAGAGAGGAGUGGAGAUUGGUGUGAUUUCAUAGAAACGAGAAAAUGUUCAGUAAUCAGCGAUGACAUUGAGGAACAGUACCAGAAAAACAACAACGGCAAAAUGCCCCUUGCUGGAGAGGAGUACGAGCUGGACUGGAAAGCAAAGACCAAAACCAACCUGACGACUGGCAAAGCAUGCAAGAUCAGAC
Scomber scombrus (Atlantic mackerel) is the source of this 200-nucleotide long non-coding RNA. RefSeq lists it as uncharacterized. The transcript has 3 exons. The record is from RefSeq and is a predicted model, not a curated record. NCBI's taxonomy places the organism in Eukaryota, Metazoa, Chordata, Actinopteri, Scombriformes, Scombridae.